AGCUACUGAUCUGGUUAAGAAGAAUGCAGGUUCACACAGGUGUUUCUCUUUUGGGACUGGAGAAGGAGCCAGUUCUGCUCUUAUCAAUGGGUUGACCAAGGAGGGAGGAGGUCAUGCUCAGUUCAUCACAGGGACUGACAGGAUGCAGCUAAACGUGAUGCAGUCGCUGCGGUUUGCACUGCUGCCAGCUGUGGAGGACGUCUCAGUAACAUGGGAUUUACCAAAGGGAGUGUCAGCCACCGUCCUCUCUCCACCAA
Molecule: long non-coding RNA, 257 nt
Organism: Melanotaenia boesemani (Boeseman's rainbowfish)
Lineage: Eukaryota; Metazoa; Chordata; Actinopteri; Atheriniformes; Melanotaeniidae
Exons: 3
Source: RefSeq, a predicted model, not a curated record